Long non-coding RNA from Panicum virgatum (switchgrass), 1002 nucleotides. RefSeq lists it as uncharacterized. The record is from RefSeq and is a predicted model, not a curated record. The transcript is spliced from 2 exons. Lineage: Eukaryota; Viridiplantae; Streptophyta; Magnoliopsida; Poales; Poaceae.
UUUGCGUCCUAACCCCCACCCACCCCCCUUCGCCGGCGGCCGCGCUGCCGUUAUACGAACCCUAGCGGGCGGCGUGACACGCGAGGUCCGGCGGAGGCUUGCUGCGGGAGCCGGGUGGCAAAAGCGCUCGAGAGCCGGGGACGGGGAGGGACCAUCAGCCCGUCGCGGCAUUCGCCGUGAGUCGCGGAGGGAUCCCGCUCCGGCAGGGUGAGGGGGAGGGGGAGCGGGCGGGGGCGUGCGUGCAACCAGAGGACCCAAGUCGGGAGCGGCGAACACGAGCGGCCGACGGCGCGACUCUUUCUCCGAUCGCCCCCCACGAACAGGAAGGCAACAAUCCCACGGACACCAACACGUCAUGGGCAAGCAACAUGGCUGGGCUGGGCUAGAGGGGCGCCCUAUGGACUUCUGUUUCCACGAAUUCAGAUUAGAUUACGAGCAAACCAAGCACCUUGCUUUUAAGAAUGGCAUCCACUCAGACCCCUUCUCCGCCGGCAACCACAUGUGGAGGAUAAGCUGUUCGGGUUAUGACGGGAGCGAUACUAUCUAUAUCUACCUUUGGCCAGAGAGCAAACAUGGUAACGUCAGUGCCAUCGUUGAGGAUCAAGUGCAUUGACUUCUUUGCAAUGGAGAAAAAUUUCAGGAGGGCUGUGUUAACUGAUGGUUUCGUGGAGUUGGUGCAGCAGUUCCCAUCCAUUAUUGCUGAGCUGCGACAGAGGCCGACAUCAUCGCUGCUCAUUUAAGUUGCUGCAGCAUGCUAAUGAUACAUGUGAUGCAAGGUGGAGGUUAUUUCCACAGCUCAGUGCAAAUGUAGCACAUUAUGCAUAAUCAGUAGCCUAAUUGCGUGUUUGUGUCUAUGUUUCUUUGUUCUCUUGGCACUGUACUGUCCUGAAAUUGGGUUAACACUUUUGAGAUGUUUACUUUGCAAUUGGGGAUGAUUGGAUCGGUGAAGUAAGUUAGUGUCUCCAUAUGGACAAUGUGUAUAAUAGUUCAGUGAUUGAUCCA